GGAUGGGCCUGCGUCUGAUUAGCUAGUUGGUGGGGUAACGGCCUACCAAGGCAACGAUCAGUAGCCGACCUGAGAGGGUAAUCGGCCACAUUGGAACUGAGACACGGUCCAAACUCCUACGGGAGGCAGCAGUGGGGAAUAUUGCACAAUGGGCGAAAGCCUGAUGCAGCAACGCCGCGUGAGCGAUGAAGGCCUUUGGGUCGUAAAGCUCUGUCCUUGGGGAAGAAAAAAAUGACGGUACCCUUGGAGGAAGCCCCGGCUAACUACGUGCCAGCAGCCGCGGUAAUACGUAGGGGGCAAGCGUUAUCCGGAAUUAUUGGGCGUAAAGAGUGCGUAGGUGGUUUUGUAAGCGCGGGGUGAAAGGCAAUGGCUCAACUAUUGUAAGCCCUGCGAACUGUGAGACUUGAGUGCAGGAGAGGAAAGUGGAAUUCCUAGUGUAGCGGUGAAAUGCGUAGAUAUUAGGAGGAACACCAGUGGCGAAGGCGGCUUUCUGGACUGUAACUGACACUGAGGCACGAAAGCGUGGGGAGCAAACAGGAUUAGAUACCCUGGUAGUCCACGCCGUAAACGAUGAGCACUAGGUGUCGGGGCCGCAAGGUUUCGGUGCCGCAGUUAACGCCAUUAA
Molecule: ribosomal RNA, 625 nt
Filed under: uncultured bacterium
Lineage: Bacteria
Description: bacterial SSU rRNA
Rfam family: Bacterial small subunit ribosomal RNA
Source: RNAcentral